This 253-nucleotide ribosomal RNA is filed under the name uncultured bacterium. RNAcentral's name for it is "partial 16S ribosomal RNA". It matches the Rfam family "Bacterial small subunit ribosomal RNA", at positions 524 to 776 of the family's 1533-position model. The record is from RNAcentral.
UACGAAGGUGGCAAGCGUUACUCGGAAUUACUAGGCGUAAAGGGCAGGUAGGUGGUUUGAUAAGUCUGUUGUGAAAGCUCCCGGCUUAACUGGGAGAGGUCAACAGAAACUAUCAGGCUUGAGUAUAGGAGAGGGUACUGGAAUUCCCGGUGUAGCGGUGAAAUGCGCAGAGAUCGGGAGGAACACCAAUGGCGAAAGCAGGUACCUGGACUAUUACUGACACUCAGCUGCGAAAGCUAGGGGAGCAAACAGG